GAGGGAAUAGCCCAGUGGUAGAGUCCAUGCUUAGCAUGCACAAGGUCCUGGGUUCAAUCCCCAGUACCUCCA
Camelus ferus (Wild Bactrian camel) is the source of this 72-nucleotide transfer RNA. It matches the Rfam family "tRNA". From Rfam's summary of the family: Transfer RNA (tRNA) molecules are approximately 80 nucleotides in length. Their secondary structure includes four short double-helical elements and three loops (D, anti-codon, and T loops). Lineage: Eukaryota; Metazoa; Chordata; Mammalia; Artiodactyla; Camelidae. The record is from Rfam.